UUAGGCCGGUCCACCCGGGAUCGCAGCCCGAUCCACGGGGGUCACCCAGACCUGGUAUGAAUCCAAGGCCAGAAGAGAACGCGUCUUCGGUUAAGCCCGGUCAGGCUUCUUCCCCGGCCUAAUCCUCGCGUCCCCCCGACCCUGGCCUGGGAUCCAACCCACACCUGCGACCGUGUGGAUCGAACUCACGCCUCCCCGAGCGAGCAGGUAGGGGGCGGCGCUCUCCUAGGGUUUCUUGGAGCAGGUUCGCCGGUCCGAUUCUUGAUCCGCAUACUCGGCGGGUUCUUGAUUCGUGGGUACUCAGCGGCUCCGCUCGAGGCUGCGCACGUCGGCUUUGGCGCUGGAUGGGUAGGCCAUGGAACAAAUCCUCGCGACGCGGAGGCGAGCGCUGGCGGCGCUGCCGCGGCGGCUCAGACGCGACUGAGACGUGACGCUCUUCACUCUGGCAUCCCUCCCCUUCGGUCAACUUCGCGCCGAUCUCCUCGAGUUUGAAGCACCAGUACAAGUACGACAAAAGCCAUAUUGCUUUUAUUUGCUCGGAUGUGGUCCCUUUGCAUAAUUUGUUUCUUCUAUAUCAUUUAUCCGCUGGAGCUUGCAAUUUUUAAUAAUCUAUAUGGGAACAAGGGAUCCAGGUGUACUGAUCAACUUAUUUGAGCUUCUUCUAAUCUGAUACUGAGUUCUUCUAAUCUGAUCCAGGUGUACUGACCUACCAUGGUGCAUGCAUCCUGAAUUUGGUUUGUAUAAAUACUUUAGUAGAUAACCUGAUACUUACAAAUUUGAAGAACACUAGGAUGGAUUUUUAGUAGAAAUUGGCCUCUUUAAAUCUGAAAUACUAUCUACGGAUAAAGCAAAGGAUACUUGCUUUGUAACACUAGUAUCUUUUUCUGUAGUGGCACCGCUUCGUAACCCUGCAUAACUGAAUCUUGAGCUCUCGAUUAAAAAAUAACAAGAACCCUACUCGUGUUAGAACUCUAUUUUUCUGACUUAUGUUGGAGCCAGCUAAUUCUCAUGCUCAGCGUGAGAACCAUGUUUCCUGCAGUAUAUUUUUGCGAAAUAUGUUUCAUGGCACAUGAUACUAGUGUAAAUUUAUGAGCAUUUCCUUUUCUGGAGAUGAAUAAAUUAAAAAGUUAAUAAUGUUCGUUUCAAUCAGUUAUUGAACUUACUUGACUGAUCAAUAUCACUGGUUUUAUAUAUCAGAUGUUGACCUUCUAUGUUGAAGCAUGUACUGAAGUACUGAACGUUACUUGGUGGUGGUAGGAGUCUGCCAAGGUCAAGGCUGCUGGCAUGGCUUGUUAACAAGAUCAUGAUCUCGGAUAGGGACUACACCAAGUUUCAUAACUUCUUAAACUGGCUCCCUCAGGAUUAUUACCUUCUCUGUUUAGAUAAAAAUUCAUUGUGUAGUUAAAAUACAUUGCUCUCAGCACUUGUCUCGACACCGCAUGGCGUGCCAUCGAACCGAAGCACAGGUUGCAGCUGCGCCGGCCAUCUGCUUGUCUUCAGUUUGCUGUUUGCUAUUUCUCGUGAGACUUAUGGCCUGGACGAUGAUAGAAUCUUUAGCUAGUCUUGGCACAUUUUUUUUCUCCCAAAACAGGUGCGUGUACCGCCACUGGAGAACAACUACUUGUAUUGUGGAUUUAUUUAAUCUAGCUUGCAAUUGUGAGUCUGUACAAUCGGGUUUGCAU
This is a long non-coding RNA of Panicum hallii, 1682 nucleotides long. RefSeq lists it as uncharacterized. Lineage: Eukaryota; Viridiplantae; Streptophyta; Magnoliopsida; Poales; Poaceae. The transcript is spliced from 2 exons. The record is from RefSeq and is a predicted model, not a curated record.